AGGGAGAAAAAAACCCAAAGAUACAGCUAUGGGGGGGGGGGGGUUACAAAAUUCAUUUUUACAUCAAAAUAAUUUAUUUGUUUAAAUAUUUAAUUACCAGCAUCAUAUUUUCCAUUAAGAGUAAAAUUUUGAGGACAGGGUAGCAAAUUUAAGUGCUAAACUAGAUUGAAGGACCCGCAGCAUCAGAAGAGGGUGGCAAAAAGACCCCCCCCCCCCAGGGUUUAGCACCCAAAUUUAUGCGUGUAUGUUUGAAAGGAAACACAAAUUUACCAACUCAAUUGGUGAGUUUGCUGAAGUCUUUCUUUUUAAUAAUUAUUAUUAUUUAUUUAUUUUUACAGAUUUUGUCAUCCAUUCACAUUGCUUCCUCAAGUCUGGCUAUUAUUUGAUGCCAACAUGUUGAUUAAAACAAAAAUAAAUAAUGACCAGAAAUAUGUCAAGAUCAGUGAGCCAAGUUUGGAGGAAUUCUUGAAUUCUGGUAAGCCAUCAAUCACAAACUGAGAAACUAAAGAAAUUAAUUACCUGUUUAUUAGUCCAACAUUGUCUUAAAAUGUGUGAAACUUUAUAAAUUUAGGCCUUUACGGUUAAUAGUUGUUUUAAAAAAAAUCAGCAUUUUAAUUAACAUUUUUUAAUUAUUUGAUUUAUUUCCUGUAGCUUUUUUGAAGUUCUCCAUUCCACCUGUCAGUGAAGGAGUCAGAGUUUAUGAUGAAUCAGGAACUGAGGUGGAUGCAGAGGUCUUUGCAGAAGUUGCACAGCUUCCCAAUGCUGGUGUAUUUACCAUUCAAUUUAACAGUGGUUCUCUUGUUCCCAUUUUGACUGCCUCCACACAGGACUUAACCAGUUCACAACAGAAUGUUUCAUCAUGCAGUUCAAAUAAUACAGUGGUUCUAGAACUUUCUGUGUGCGAUUCUGAUGAUACAAUCAUCUUGGAUGAGGAUUGUUCCCCUUCAAGAAAAUGACAGAAGACAAAUGAAGAUGCUAAACAAGUUGUUGAAUUGGCUUUGACCAAGAAACCAGGUGGAGACCAAAUUGUUAGGGAAUACAGCCGUACAAAAAGUCUGACUGAUUCCUCACGCCGACAGAUGAUUAACAUUCUUGCUGCAGAUAUGACUGAGAUUCAUGGGUAAUGUGGAUGUUUGUUCCAAGCACCUUUCUGCCAAGUAUUUGGGGAAAUAUUGGCGCCACAUAUACAUGAUUUUAGUACUGGAAAAUCUAAAUUAAUUUGUU
RNAcentral lists this long non-coding RNA (1224 nucleotides) under Oryzias sinensis (Chinese medaka). RNAcentral's name for it is "lncRNA (ENSOSIG00000011423.1)". Lineage: Eukaryota; Metazoa; Chordata; Actinopteri; Beloniformes; Adrianichthyidae. The record is from RNAcentral.